CCAUUAACAACGCGGAUUCGCUGUUUGCACCACUUCCGUUAGGAAAAGUAAGGGUAACGAUCCACGAUGCCAAUUGGUUGGUUAUAGGUCAUGUUAAUAAAUGAAGAUAGGAGGAGAAAGCCUCCUAUCAACGCGGCUAGUAACUACCUGCUUUCCCCGUAAUUAGUAAGGACGUAUAACAACCUAAGGGCUGUUUCAAGGACCAUCCAUAAACAGAUAACAGAAAUAAUAAACUUAAAAAGUUUAAGUUUAUGGUGGAUCCCUGGGGUAAUUGAGGGUGCGCGGUGGCCUCUGAUAAAAUUGACGUUACAACUGCCACGACACCCGUAUUCGGGUGUCAGCAAAGUAUCUGUCGUUCGUCGUAGGCAUUUGAAAAGAUAUUCCAUAAUAAUAAAUUGUUAAUUAAUAAUUAAUUGUAAUAAUAGUUGAAUUGUUAUAAAAUAAAAAUACGAAAAUGGUUUGUUAAAGAAAUGAU
Bombus huntii is the source of this 475-nucleotide long non-coding RNA. RefSeq lists it as uncharacterized. Lineage: Eukaryota; Metazoa; Arthropoda; Insecta; Hymenoptera; Apidae. The record is from RefSeq and is a predicted model, not a curated record. The transcript has 2 exons.